CAGUAGCCGCGGGAAUACUGAGGGUGCAAGCGUUAAUCGGAAUUACUGGGCGUAAAGCGCACGCAGGCGGUCUGACAAGUCAGAUGUGAAAUCCCCGGGCUUAACCUGGGAACUGCAUUUGAAACUGUCAGGCUGGAGUCUUGUAGAGGGGGGUGGAAUUCCAGGUGUAGCGGUGAAAUGCGUAGAGAUCUGGAGGAAUACCGGUGGCGAAGGCGGCCCCCUGGACAAAGACUGACGCUCAGGUGCGAAAGCGUGGGGAGCAAACAGGAUUAGAUACCCGAGUGUCCCUGUCUCUUAUACA
Molecule: ribosomal RNA, 301 nt
Filed under: uncultured bacterium
Lineage: Bacteria
Description: partial 16S ribosomal RNA
Rfam family: Bacterial small subunit ribosomal RNA
Source: RNAcentral